GUCUACGGCCACGCCACCCCGAACACGCCUGAUCCCGUCUGAUCUCGGAAGCUAAGCAGGGUCGGGCCUGGUCAGUACUUGGGUGGGAGACCACAUAGGAAGACCAGAUGCUGUAGGUG
RNAcentral lists this ribosomal RNA (119 nucleotides) under Pteropus alecto (black flying fox). The record is from RNAcentral. Lineage: Eukaryota; Metazoa; Chordata; Mammalia; Chiroptera; Pteropodidae.